RNAcentral lists this ribosomal RNA (761 nucleotides) under Leucobacter chromiiresistens. RNAcentral's name for it is "bacterial SSU rRNA". It matches the Rfam family "Bacterial small subunit ribosomal RNA", at positions 82 to 854 of the family's 1533-position model. The record is from RNAcentral. Lineage: Bacteria; Bacillati; Actinomycetota; Actinomycetes; Micrococcales; Microbacteriaceae.
GCUGGGUGGAAGAGUGGCGAACGGGUGAGUAACACGUGAGUAACCUGCCCUGAACUCUGGGAUAAGCACUGGAAACGGUGUCUAAUACUGGAUACGACCUAUCACCGCAUGGUGUGUGGGUGGAAAGAUUUAUCGGUUUUGGAUGGACUCGCGGCCUAUCAGCUAGAUGGUGAGGUAAUGGCUCACCAUGGCGACGACGGGUAGCCGGCCUGAGAGGGUGACCGGCCACACUGGGACUGAGACACGGCCCAGACUCCUACGGGAGGCAGCAGUGGGGAAUAUUGCACAAUGGGCGCAAGCCUGAUGCAGCAACGCCGCGUGAGGGAUGACGGCCUUCGGGUUGUAAACCUCUUUUAGUAGGGAAGAAGCGAAAGUGACGGUACCUGCAGAAAAAGCACCGGCUAACUACGUGCCAGCAGCCGCGGUAAUACGUAGGGUGCAAGCGUUGUCCGGAAUUAUUGGGCGUAAAGAGCUCGUAGGCGGCUUGUCGCGUCUGCUGUGAAAUCCCGGGGCUCAACCCCGGGCCUGCAGUGGGUACGGGCAAGCUAGAGUGCGGUAGGGGAGAUUGGAAUUCCUGGUGUAGCGGUGGAAUGCGCAGAUAUCAGGAGGAACACCGAUGGCGAAGGCAGAUCUCUGGGCCGCUACUGACGCUGAGGAGCGAAAGCAUGGGGAGCGAACAGGAUUAGAUACCCUGGUAGUCCAUGCCGUAAACGUUGGGAACUAGAUGUAGGGCCUGUUCCACGGGUUCUGUGUCGUAGCUA